Molecule: non-coding RNA, 228 nt
Filed under: Atribacterota
Lineage: Bacteria; Pseudomonadati
Description: Candidatus Atribacteria T-box sequence
Rfam family: T-box leader
About the family: Uncharged tRNA acts as the effector for transcription antitermination of genes in the T-box leader family. T-boxes are found upstream of many aminoacyl-tRNA synthetase genes and some amino acid biosynthetic genes usually in Gram-positive bacteria.
Source: RNAcentral
AAGAAAAAAAUAAAAGGGAAAAGUAGGUAAGCAGCCAAUUUUAGAGAGCUGAUGGUUGGUGAAAAUCAGUAUUGGUUUUAUCGAAUUCCACUCUUAUUAAUAUUUCCGGUGAAAUCAAAAUAUUCGGAAACACAUGUUAAGGUGUGUUAAACAAUUAGCCAAUGAAGGAUAGGAUAUUUUUCCUAUUGAAUCAGGGUGGUACCACGUGAUUAAACUCUCGUCCCUAGU